ACCUAAUUUGCUGGUCUUUUUUAUUGCUGCAGGUUGUGGUGUUCCAUGCCCAAUAAUUAUAUUAAGUUGGGAAUUACCCAUUUAUGAAUUUCAAUUGAAUUUGAGUUUUCAUGGUGAUUUGUUAUGAAAGUUUAAAAAAUGUCUUAUAGCCACCAGUGUGAUUGCAAACAAAUUCCCUUUGGUAUGUUUUGUUUUUCAGUUAAUCAUAAGCAUGUUCCUUCUCUCUUUACAGCGUGUUAUAUGAUUUUUCUUAUGAGGAAAUAUACAAUGUUUGAUUGAUAAUUUGCCUGGUGUAACAAACUACAUAUUUUGGGCCCCUUCUUUUGGUGGUCUGAAUCAUUCGUAUGGUGGGUCCCACUGCAAGUAGGAUACAACCCAGAUAUCUGCCUCAGUAGACAAUAAUGAUCAUUUAUUGGGUCCUCAUUAGAUGUAGACCAGUGGUAGUAGUUUUCCAUUUUCAUUGGAUGGCUAGGAUCUUCGGGUAGGCAACAUAUCAUGGCAAGGCCCAUCAAAUGAUUUGGCCUACUAGAUGACUGGUGUUUCCAAAAAGAGGGUGCCACCUGUACCAUUGUUGGAUCCAUAGUUUGUAAAAUGGCAAACGGUGAAAAACUCGUAUGGGAAAUGUCCGUGUUUAAUUCAGUCUCGAUUGUAAAAAAUACAGGAAAAGAAAUGGAAAUGCAAAAAAUUCAGAGAAUGAAACGUUUAGGUUUAAUACGGUUUGGACUAUAAAAAUGAAGUGAAAAAACGACUAUAUAUGUGCAUGUGUAUGUGUGUGUAUUACAUGCAAAAAAGGUUAAAAGUAGAAAA
This is a long non-coding RNA of Magnolia sinica, 807 nucleotides long. RefSeq lists it as uncharacterized. The transcript is spliced from 2 exons. The record is from RefSeq and is a predicted model, not a curated record. Lineage: Eukaryota; Viridiplantae; Streptophyta; Magnoliopsida; Magnoliales; Magnoliaceae.